UGUGUGUGUGUGUGUGUGUGUGCACGCGCACGCGCGCGCACACACACACACACACACACACACA
RNAcentral lists this microRNA precursor (64 nucleotides) under Podarcis lilfordi (Lilford's wall lizard). Lineage: Eukaryota; Metazoa; Chordata; Lepidosauria; Squamata; Lacertidae. The record is from RNAcentral.